GAGAUGAGAGACAUACUCCGAGGAAACUUUGCCCUCAAAGGGAGAGAAAUGUAGUGGCUAGAGAUGGACGCGAGCGAAUUUUUGGAGGCUAUUACACAUGUUUAGUUUGCUGGCGGCGGCGUGGGGGUGGUACAAGAGGGAAGAACGCUGAAGCAGGAGACUCUGGAUACGGAGGGCGUGAGGAAGCCCGCGUAGCCUCUCCCCCAAAGGCACUGUAAACCUAAACAGAGCUGUCAAAACCAACUAUGUCAGUGCUCUGGAUACAGACCAAAGGCAUACAACAAACAGAAGCUUCUGCUCACGAAACGUACUGAACUUAGGUACAGCCCCUCCAGAAGACAGUCUGGCAGGUUUUUAUAAAGCAUGGACUGAUCUAUGACCCAGAACUCGUGACCCUGGAUAUUUUACCUAAGUGAACUGAAAACUUAUGUUCCUGCAAAAAAAUAUGUACACAAAUGUUAAGAAGCAGUUUUAUUAAUAAUCACCCCCAACUGGAAGCUACUAAGAUGCCCUUCACCGUGGGAAUGGAUGAACAACUGCAAAUAACACAGUAUCCAGCCGUGAAAAGGAUCAAGUUGUCGAUCUUCAAGAGUCAUCCUUGCAACAUGGAUGGGUCUCAAGUGCAUUCGCCAACACCACAGCUAUCUGUAUCACACAAGCUAUCUGUAUUCCCAAGAUGUAGCUACUGACGAACUCGGCCUGAGGUACUGUGAGACCUGAGCUGGUACUGGAGAAGACAAUGAGUGUUUUUCUCUUUUACUUCUUCCUCCUCAAACCAAACAACAUUCCUCUUGAAAAUUUCCAGCAAUGGGGCA
This is a long non-coding RNA of Hyaena hyaena (striped hyena), 815 nucleotides long. RefSeq lists it as uncharacterized. The transcript has 3 exons. NCBI's taxonomy places the organism in Eukaryota, Metazoa, Chordata, Mammalia, Carnivora, Hyaenidae. The record is from RefSeq and is a predicted model, not a curated record.